RNAcentral lists this non-coding RNA (22 nucleotides) under Arabidopsis thaliana (thale cress). Lineage: Eukaryota; Viridiplantae; Streptophyta; Magnoliopsida; Brassicales; Brassicaceae. The record is from RNAcentral.
AUGUUGGGUGACAUCAUUGUCA